UACGAGUGGUGCAAGCAUUAUUCGGAAUCAUUGGGCGUAAAGGGUGCGUAGGUUGUACAUUAAGUCUGUUGUUAAAUUUCUCGGCCUAACCGGGAACCUGCAGUGGAAACUAGUGUGCUAGAGGAUGGAAGAGAGAAGUGGAAUUCUCGGAGUAGCGGUAAAAUGCGUAGAUCUCGAGAGGAACACCGAUGGCGAAAGCAGCUUCUUGGUCCAAUCCUGACACUGAUGCACGAAAGCGUGGGGAGCAAACAGG
Molecule: ribosomal RNA, 253 nt
Filed under: uncultured bacterium
Lineage: Bacteria
Description: partial 16S ribosomal RNA
Rfam family: Bacterial small subunit ribosomal RNA
Source: RNAcentral